RNAcentral lists this long non-coding RNA (469 nucleotides) under Mustela putorius furo (domestic ferret). RNAcentral describes it as "lncRNA (ENSMPUG00000024346.1)". The record is from RNAcentral. Lineage: Eukaryota; Metazoa; Chordata; Mammalia; Carnivora; Mustelidae.
CUUUUUUUUCAGCAAAAUUUUAUGGGCACUUACCAUGUGCCUGGCACUGUUCAGUGCACUGUAGUGCAGGAAUGAAUGAGAUAGCUCAGCUUCCAGAAGUUUACCAUUUACUCCAGGGAGACAAGCAUAAGAAAGUGUGAUUUUACAGAGAGAAGGACUGAGAUUUUCAAUCUGUUGUGGAAUCCACUGGAAUAAGCGAAGUCACUCACGCCAGGCAGCUUCACUGAACGCAUUUUAUACUUUAGGUUUCUGACACAAUCUCAGAGCAAAGAGGAACCUCUCCAAGGACCUAACCAGAUGCAAGCCUGAUUCAUCUCCAUAUCUGCCUUCUCCAGAGACACUACUAUCAAGAAUCUGGUAUGUUUUCUUUCAGACUGCAUUUUCAUACCUUUGUUACAAUAUAUAUGCAGUCAAAACAAUAACUAUGCUUUGCAUAUUUUGAAUUUUACCUAAUACUAUCAUAUUGUUC